AGCGAAUGCUGGCGGCAGGCCUAACACAUGCAAGUCGAACGAACCUUUCGGGGUUAGUGGCGGACGGGUGAGUAACACGGGGUAACGUGCCUUUAGGUUCGGAAUAACUCAGGGAAACUUGUGCUAAUACCGAAUGUGCCCUUCCGGGGAAGGAGUUAUCGCCUUUAGAGCGGCCCGUGUCUGAUUCGCUAGUUGGUUGAGGUAAUGGCACUCCACGGCGACGAUCAGUAGCUGGUCUGAGAAGAUGCUUAGCCACAUUGGGACUGAGACACGGCCCAAACUCCGACGGGAGGCAGGAGUAGGGAGUCUUACGCAAUGAGCGAAAGCCUGACGCAGCCAUGCCGCGUGAAUGAUGAAGGUCUUAGGAUUGUAAAAUUCUUUCACCGGAGACGAUAAUGACGGUACCCGGAGAAGAAGCCCCGGCUAACUUCGUG
Molecule: ribosomal RNA, 434 nt
Filed under: uncultured bacterium
Lineage: Bacteria
Description: partial 16S ribosomal RNA
Rfam family: Bacterial small subunit ribosomal RNA
Source: RNAcentral